Molecule: non-coding RNA, 348 nt
Filed under: Halioglobus sp. HI00S01
Lineage: Bacteria; Pseudomonadati; Pseudomonadota; Gammaproteobacteria; Cellvibrionales; Halieaceae
Description: Bacterial small subunit ribosomal RNA
Rfam family: Bacterial small subunit ribosomal RNA
Source: Rfam by way of RNAcentral
AAACUGAAGAGUUUGAUCAUGGCUCAGAUUGAACGCUGGCGGCAGGCCUAACACAUGCAAGUCGAGCGAGAAAGCACUUCGGUGUGAGUACAGCGGCGGACGGGUGAGUAACGCGUAGGAAUCUACCCAGUAGUGGGGGACAACAGUCGGAAACGGCUGCUAAUACCGCAUACGCGCUACGGGGGAAAGCGGGUGACCUUCGGGCCUCGCGCUAUUUGAUGAGCCUGCGUAAGAUUAGCUAGUUGGUGAGGUAAAGGCUCACCAAGGCGACGAUCUUUAGCUGGUCUGAGAGGAUGAUCAGCCACACUGGAACUGAGACACGGUCCAGACUCCUACGGGAGGCAGCAG